CAAGUCCACAGGACAGUUCUAAUAAUGACCUCACCCUAACUUGUUCAGUCAUAUCCACUGAGACAAAAGAAUACCACAGCGACGAGUCAGUCCAAUUAACUCCCUGGAAAGCCUGGCUGCUGUAGUGUUCUGGACCUCGUUCUUGGGGAACUUGUUUUCUUAUAUUCCUUCCUGCCCAAGCCGGUUCUGCCAGUUGACCCAGGUCUUGAAUCUUUGUAUGAUUGUCAGGAUAGGAAAACUCACCUGUCUAUUCAUUAUUGUUUUCCCACUUAUUCUGUUCAGCUUCUAGAUGAGAUGUACCUGUUUCUCUGAGUGUGGUUCAAUAACUGCUCUGCCUUAUUGAAUGAAAACUCUUCUCGGCAAGACACAGUUUUUGGAUUGUGAUCAAAGAAAGAAUGGAGGCACAGCAUCAAGGGAUGUGGGUCUGAGCCAGGGCAGUGCGAGAGGAGAUGGAAGAAAGCGGAGAAACCUGUGGGAGAUGUUUGCAAGUAGGGUAGGGUAUAGGGAUUGGAUGUAGUGCUCAGUUGCUGGAGGUGGGAAGGAGUGAUGGAGGGAGUGGUUGAAAAUAAGUCACCUGAGUAGCUUUUUUAAAGCAAACUAGGAGAUCCAAGGAAAGAAGUGGUAGUGGGUUGGGGAGAGAAGAGAUGCAUUCUGAUGGAGAUGGGCUAAGAAGAACUAAGAAGAAAAAAAUAAAGCAUUUACGGAGGAAGAAGAAUGUAGUUUAUGAAAAAUAAUAAGGAAGGAAAUUUGAAAAAGGAAGACGAUUAGCAAUUUUAAAUGCUGUAGAGGAGUUAAGUUGAAAGAAGACUAAGAAGAGGCAAUGUGAAGGUCAGAAAUCAUCAGGAGAACAAAUUCCACAGUGCAGGCAGCACAAAAACCAUGCUUUCAUUACCGAAAAUUGAAAACAUGGUCUGAUGAUGGAUUUUGAUUGAUUUAUGAACUUAUUUACAUGAAAUCUUUCAAUGGUCCAAAAGUAAGUCACAUUUAUUUAAUGAAUCACCAUUAUUGAAAAAAUAUAUGAUAAAAAGGAGCUACUCUGGAAAACCUGUAACACAUUUUCACCAUCGUGACUGGGACAGAAGCCAGAUCUUAGGGGAUUUCAUCAAUGAAAUGAGACAAAAGAAGGGAAAAGGAGAAAGAAGAGUUUGAUCCUUUAUAAAGACAAAAAUAAAACCAAAGUAGGCUGAAACUCAUAAGUAAAGGGAAAACUCCUGAUUAAGAAGACUGGAAACAGAGAGUGGCAUCAGCAUCAUAGUGGUAUAAGAUGUCCCUCCUUUCUAACAACUAAUCAGGUAUCCAUCCACAAACAAAAGUGCCUCUGUGGGAGUUGUGGGAUCCAGCACCAUAUACCAAGGGACCCAGGAGAUGUCUUGCCCACCUGCAUCUGGUAAUAGGCAGACAGACCUUGAUACAGGCUGUGGAGCCAGCAGGAGCCUGUGAACCUGCCCCAACCCCUCUCAGCCACAGUCAGAUAAAACCUGGAGAGUACUGACUAGAGCAGACACCCAUGAGCAAGAGAGACUUUGUAGAAGUCCAGCCUUCCUGAGGGGAGAUUCCAACACACUAUUGGAGAAAAAAAAUUACAGAUUUGGAUGCAUUGGAAGGAGUAAGAGGAAAUUUUCCACUGCUGCCCCUCCCAAGGCGACACAGCCUGGGGCUGAACUAGCCAGUGGUGACCUCUCCCACAGGAGGAAAAGGAGAGUGGUGAGUGAGUGCUCAGCUACCCCAGCUGUGCAGCACACUGCUGGAGAAACUCAUUUCUCUCCAGCAGUACCCAGAGUACUGAGGCAGGACCUCCAUGACUGGAGGGAAAGAGGAGAUCAGGAAAGAG
RNAcentral lists this long non-coding RNA (1831 nucleotides) under Equus caballus (horse). RNAcentral describes it as "lncRNA (ENSECAG00000046551.1)". Lineage: Eukaryota; Metazoa; Chordata; Mammalia; Perissodactyla; Equidae. The record is from RNAcentral.